RNAcentral lists this small nuclear RNA (321 nucleotides) under Castor canadensis (American beaver). RNAcentral describes it as "7SK RNA (ENSCCNG00000007102.1)". It matches the Rfam family "7SK RNA". Rfam says of the family: 7SK was discovered as an abundant small nuclear RNA in the mid-70s but a possible function has only recently been suggested. Two independent studies have found that 7SK RNA binds the CDK9/cyclin T complex (known as elongation factor P-TEFb). P-TEFb activates transcription by phosphorylating the C-terminal domain of RNA polymerase II. The record is from RNAcentral. Lineage: Eukaryota; Metazoa; Chordata; Mammalia; Rodentia; Castoridae.
GGAUGUGAGGGCGAUCUGGCUGCGACAUCUGUCACCCCAUUGAUCGCCAGGGUUGAUUCGGCUGAUCUGGCUGGCUAGGCGGGUGUCCCCUUCCUCCCUCACCGCUCCAUGUGCGUCCCUCCCGAAGCUGCGCGCUCGGUCGAAGAGGACGACCAUCCCCGAUAGAGGAGGACCGUUCUUCGGUCAAGGGUAUACGAGUAGCUGUGCUCCCCUGCUAGAACCUCCAAACAAGCUCUCAAGAAGAGCACUGGAUCAGGGCCUGGGGAUAUAGUUUUUGAUAGUGCAUCCACGCAGCAUGCAUGAGGCUCUGGGCUGGAUUCU